GGAAAAAGCGGGAACUGCUGCUAAUACCGGAUGUGCCGAAAGGUGAAAGAUUUAUUGCCUGAAGAUGAGCUCGCGUCUGAUUAGCUAGUAGGUGGGGUAAGAGCGCACCUAGGCGACGAUCAGUAGCUGGUCUGAGAGGACGAUCAGCCACACUGGGACUGAGACACGGCCCAGACUCCUACGGGAGGCAGCAGUGGGGAAUUUUCCGCAAUGGGCGAAAGCCUGACGGAGCAAUACCGCGUGAGGGAGGAAGGCUCUUGGGUUGUAAACCUCUUUUCUCAAGGAAGAAUACAGUGACGGUACUUGAGGAAUAAGCAUCGGCUAACUCCGUGCCAGCAGCCGCGGUAAUACGGAGGAUGCAAGCGUUAUCCGGAAUGAUUGGGCGUAAAGCGUCCGCAGGUGGCCAUGUAAGUCUGCUGUCAAAAGAGUGUAAGCUCACCCUCGUAAAAAGCAGUGGAAAACUGCAUAAACUAGAGUACGGUCGGGGGUAGAGGGAUUCCCUGGGUGUAGCGGGUGAAAUGCGUAAAAAUUGGAAAAAACAUCGGUGGGCAAAAGCGCUCUGCCUGGGGCCUUGUACUGACACUGAGGGGACGAAAAGCUUA
RNAcentral lists this ribosomal RNA (602 nucleotides) under Nostoc sp. LCRNK39. Its description in RNAcentral is "bacterial SSU rRNA". It matches the Rfam family "Bacterial small subunit ribosomal RNA", at positions 141 to 763 of the family's 1533-position model. RNAcentral also lists the same sequence under 1 other name. The record is from RNAcentral. Lineage: Bacteria; Bacillati; Cyanobacteriota; Cyanophyceae; Nostocales; Nostocaceae.